UAGGGAAUCUUCGGCAAUGGACGAAAGUCUGACCGAGCAACGCCGCGUGAGUGAAGAAGGUUUUCGGAUCGUAAAACUCUGUUGUUAGAGAAGAACAAGGACGUUAGUAACUGAACGUCCCCUGACGGUAUCUAACCAGAAAGCCACGGCUAACUACGUGCCAGCAGCCGCGGUAAUACGUAGGUGGCAAGCGUUGUCCGGAUUUAUUGGGCGUAAAGCGAGCGCAGGCGGUUUCUUAAGUCUGAUGUGAAAGGCUCCGGCCCAACCGGGGAGGGUCACUGGAACCCGGGAGACUUGAGGGCAGAAGAGGAGAGUGGAAUUCUAUGUGUAGCGGUGAAAUGCGUAGUUAUAUGGAGGAACACCAGUGGCGAAGGCCGCUCUCUGGUCUGUAACUGACGCUGAGGCUCGAAAGCGUGGGGACCAAACAGU
RNAcentral lists this ribosomal RNA (429 nucleotides) under Gemmatimonadota bacterium. Its description in RNAcentral is "Gemmatimonadetes bacterium partial 16S ribosomal RNA". It matches the Rfam family "Bacterial small subunit ribosomal RNA", at positions 355 to 776 of the family's 1533-position model. The record is from RNAcentral. Lineage: Bacteria; Pseudomonadati; Gemmatimonadota.